Molecule: long non-coding RNA, 237 nt
Filed under: Solanum tuberosum (potato)
Lineage: Eukaryota; Viridiplantae; Streptophyta; Magnoliopsida; Solanales; Solanaceae
Description: long non-coding RNA (STUB_LNC008122)
Source: RNAcentral
CAUCCUUAAGGAAACAACAAUUAAGCAUAAAAGAAAUGGGUAAUAAAAAUAUAUCAACAGAGAAGAGAAUUUCCGUAAAGUCUUAAUAAUAUUUUGUUUCCUCAAACUUAUUCCCCUUAGCUUUAAUUCAUAGCUGCUAUAUUAUAUCACUAAAUCCCUAAUCAUAUGCUCAUAAUUACACCGUCAUUAUGCCCAUUAUUGUCCAAUAACACUAGUCCUCAACAAAUUGAUUUUUUU